AUGGCUUCCGCUGCCCCCUGCCCUCCGGCCGCCGGCACCACCGUCACCAGAGCCAGCAACAGCAAGCCACCGACCGCCGGAUCACACGCCAACCUCCUCCCCGCUUCUCCCUCCCCCGCGUCCNNNNNNNNNNNNNNNNNNNNNNNNNNNNNNNNNNNNNNNNNNNNNNNNNNNNNNNNNNNNNNNNNNNNNNNNNNNNNNNNNNNNNNNNNNNNNNNNNNNNNNNNNNNNNNNNNNNNNNNNNNNNNCUCCCUCGCCGCCAUGUCUCCGCGCGAGCAGACUGCCCUUCUCUCGCGGCAGCGCCACUGGCGCCGCGCCCACGACCUGUUCGACCGCGUGCGCGCGCUCCCAGGCUACGCGCCCAACCCUGUCCACUACAGCGUGCUCCUCCGCCACCUUGCCCGCGCGCGCCGGUGGUCCGAGCUCCGCCGCGUCUGGCUCAUGAUGUCCCGGGAAGACGCCAUCCCGCCCUCCAAUCCAGCUUACGCCUCGCUCGCCGAUGCCCUCGCCAAGGCCGGUUCGGCACAGGAAUCCCUCCUGCUUCUCCUGCACAUGCGCGCACUGGGUGUUGCCCCCGACGAGAUAUCCAUGAACACCUUCGUCCGUAUCCUCAAGAACAGUGGCCGCUACUCGGACGCACUCGUCCUUUUCAAUAACUGGUGCAUUGGCAGGUUCGAUGUUGAAUUUCUUCAUCUUGAAUACAGAGCGGUUGAUUUGCACGGGCCAAUGCAAUUCUUGAUAGACGACGUGUUUCAUGGUAAACUUGAUUCUGCUGGUGCAUUGGGCAUUCAGAAAGUUCCUUGGAAGCCAAAGCUUGUGGAAACUUAUAACACGAUGAUUGAUCUUUAUGGAAAGGCCGGGAGGCACAAGAAUGCGAUGGACAUGUUUGUGGACAUGCUGGCUUAUCAGGUUAUGCCAGACAUAUGUACGUUCAAUACAAUGAUCUAUGGAUUUGGGUCAUGUGGCAGCGUCAAGGAAGCAGAGGCGCUGCUAGCUAACAUGGUCGUCAGGGGGAUCACUCCAGAUAUUAGGACAUAUAAUGUGAUGAUGAUGCUGUUUGCGUCAAUGGGGGAUGCGGAGGGAGUUUUGAAAUACUACCAUCAAAUUGGGAGGAUCGGGUUAUGCGCUGAUGCUGUGAGCUAUAGGAUUGUGCUACAGGUGCUAUGUGAGAGGAAGUUGGUGCGUGAAGCAGAAGAUGUGAUAGAAGGAAUUAUCAAGUCUGGCACUAGCAUCCAUGAACAGUCCAUGCCAGUUGUCAUGAAGAUGUAUAUUGAUCAGGGAUUGCUUGAUAAGGCAAAUGCAUUCUUUGAAAGGCAUUGCAGAGGCGAGGAGGUUUCAUCCAAGAAUUUUGCUGCCAUCAUGGAUGCAUUUGCAGAUAGGUGUCUUUGGGAAGAAGCCGAGCAUAUUUUCCACUGUGAUAGAGGGAUUGGGGGCAAGAGGGAGAUAGUGGAAUAUAAUGUGAUGGUCAAGGCUUAUGGUUUGGCAAGAAAAUAUGAUAGAGUCAUUUCUCUACUUGAAAACAUGAAGGGCUCUGGCAUCUCACCAGAUGAGUGCACUUACAAUUCCUUAAUUCAGAUGUUUUCUGCCGGUGGAUUUCCACACAGAGCUAAGAAGCUCUUGCAUAAAAUGAAGGACACAGGAUUUAAACCGGUGUGUGAGACAUACUCUGCUGUUAUGAGAGCUUAUUCUCUCAAUUCCUUGGCAUCUGAAGCUAUAGAUCUGUACAGUGAAAUGAAGGCCUCAGGUGUCGAACCAAAUGUGGUUGUUUAUGGUUUGCUGAUUAAUAUGUUUGUGGAGACAGGACAAGUGGAGAAGGCACUGCACUAUAGCAACUUGAUGGAAGAAUCUGGAAUCACUCCAAACCAUAUUGUCUUAACUUCGGUUAUCAAGGCCUACAGCAAGAUCAAUUGCUGGAAGGAAGCGCAGGAUUUGUAUACAAGGAUGAGGAACAUGGAUGGUGGCCCUGAUAUCAUUGCCUCGAAUACCAUGCUAAACCUGUAUGCAAAACUUGGGAUGGUCAUUGAGGCUAAGGCAAUCUUUGACAAUUUGAGGAGAAAUUAUCAGGGGGAUGAUGUUUCAUACAUUAUUAUGAUAUUUCUCUACAAGAACAUGGGCUUGCUUAACGAGUCUAUUAAGAUUGCUCAUGAAUUAGAUAAUUCAGGCUUACUAUCUGACUGUGCUGCAUAUAAUGCUGUUAUGGCAUGUUAUGUGGCCAAGGGCAACUUGAGAGAAUGUGCAGAGCUGGUGCAAAAAAUGGUGGAAAAUAACAUCUUUCCAGAUGCGUCAACCUUUCAGAUGAUAUUUUCUGCAGUGAAUAAAAUUAAUAUUUCAUCAGAGGAAGUUUUGCAGUUAGAAUCAGCAUACAGUGAUGGCAGGAGUUCUGCCAAGCAUGCUAUACUUGCAUUCUUGUUUUCCAUGGCCGGCAUGCAUGCUGCUGCAUUAAAUAUCUGUGAGCAACUUUCAAGGCCUGAGUUGACAAUUGAUCCAUGUGCAUACAAUGUUGCCUUCAAGGUGUAUGCUUCCUGUGGAGAGGUGGAUAAAGCUUUCAGUUUGUUCAUGCGGAUGCAUGCUUUAGGGCUAAAACCGGACACUGUUACUUGCAUCGAUUUGUCAACUUGUUAUGGGAUAUCUGGAAUGUCAGAAGGCAUGAGAAGGAUAAGUGGUCUUCUUGCAUACAGAAACAGUGAGUUUAGUAAGUCUUUACAUAAAGCACUGGUUUCCUAUAGAGAAACUGGAAGCAAUGAUCUUGCUGCUCAGUUAGUCACAAAUGGGAUGUUAAGAUAG
Molecule: ribosomal RNA, 2784 nt
Filed under: Triticum aestivum (bread wheat)
Lineage: Eukaryota; Viridiplantae; Streptophyta; Magnoliopsida; Poales; Poaceae
Description: partial small subunit ribosomal RNA
Source: RNAcentral